RNAcentral lists this ribosomal RNA (1294 nucleotides) under Ocostaspora apilongissima. RNAcentral describes it as "eukaryotic LSU rRNA". It matches the Rfam family "Eukaryotic large subunit ribosomal RNA", at positions 57 to 1316 of the family's 3401-position model. Lineage: Eukaryota; Fungi; Ascomycota; Sordariomycetes; Microascales; Halosphaeriaceae. The record is from RNAcentral.
AAAAGAAACCAACAGGGAUUGCCUUAGUAACGGCGAGUGAAGCGGCAACAGCUCAAAUUUGAAAUCUGGCGCUUUUGGUGCCCGAGUUGUAAUUUGCAGAGGAUGCUUUUGGCGACGUGCCUUCCGAGUUCCCUGGAACGGGACGCCAUAGAGGGUGAGAGCCCCGUACGGUCUGGUGCCUAGCCGUUGUAAAGCUCCUUCGACGAGUCGAGUAGUUUGGGAAUGCUGCUCUAAAUGGGAGGUAAACUCCUUCUAAAGCUAAAUAUUGGCCAGAGACCGAUAGCGCACAAGUAGAGUGAUCGAAAGAUGAAAAGCACUUUGAAAAGAGAGUUAAAUAGCACGUGAAAUUGUUGAAAGGGAAGCGCUUGUGACCAGACUUGGGCUUGGUAGUUCAGCCGUCCUUUUGGGCGGUGCAUUCUGCCGGUUCAGGCCAGCAUCAGUUGUCGGUUGGGUAGAAUUGUAGUGGGAAUGUGGCUCUUCGGAGUGUUAUAGCCCGCUACGCAAUGCCCUCCUGGCGACUGAGGUUAGCGUUUUCACGGAUGCUGGCGUAAUGGUUAUCAGCGACCCGUCUUGAAACACGGACCAAGGAGUCGUCCUGCUAUGCGAGUGUUUGGGUGUUAACCCCUACGCGAAAUGAAAGUGAACGGAGGUGAGAGCUUUGGCGCAUCAUCGACCGAUCCUGAUGUUUUCGGAUGGAUUUGAGUAAGAGCAUAGCGGGCCGGACCCGAAAGAAGGUAAGCAAAAGACCCAAAUAUCCCCUAAUUUUUUAGUGGACGUAUGUACUAACGGUGGCAACCUUAUAGGUGAACUAUGCUUGAAUAGGGCAAAGCCAGAGGAAACUCUGGUGGAGGCUCGCAGCGGUUCUGACGUGCAAAUCGAUCGUCAAAUUUGAGCAUGGGGGCGAAAGACUAAUCGAACCUUCUAGUAGCUGGUUUCUACCGAAGUUUCCCUCAGGAUAGCAGUGUUGAUUCUCAGUUUUAUGAGGUAAAGCGAAUGAUUAGGGACUCGGGGGCGCUAUUUAGCCUUCAUCCAUUCUCAAACUUUAAAUAUGUAAGAAGCCUUUGUUGCUUUAGUGAACGAAGGCAUUAGAAUGUACAACACUAGUGGGCCAUUUUUGGUAAGCAGAACUGGCGAUGCGGGAUGAACCGAUCGCGAGGUUAAGGUGCCGGAGUAGUCGCUCAUCAGACACCACAAAAGGUGUUAUCACAUCUUGACAGCAGGACGGUGGCCAUGGAAGUCGGAAUCCGCUAAGGACUGUGUAACAACUCACCUGCCGAAUGUGAUAGCCCCUGAA